Molecule: transfer RNA, 76 nt
Filed under: Rickettsiales bacterium
Lineage: Bacteria; Pseudomonadati; Pseudomonadota; Alphaproteobacteria; Rickettsiales
Description: tRNA-Ala
Rfam family: tRNA
About the family: Transfer RNA (tRNA) molecules are approximately 80 nucleotides in length.
Source: RNAcentral
GGGGAUAUAGCUCAGUUGGUAGAGCGCUUGCAUGGCAUGCAAGAGGUCGUCGGUUCGACCCCGAUUAUCUCCACCA